This 1504-nucleotide ribosomal RNA is filed under the name uncultured bacterium. Its description in RNAcentral is "bacterial SSU rRNA". It matches the Rfam family "Bacterial small subunit ribosomal RNA". The record is from RNAcentral.
AGAGUUUGAUCAUGGCUCAGAUUGAACGCUGGCGGCAGGCCUAACACAUGCAAGUCGAACGGUAACAGGAAGCAGCUUGCUGCUUCGCUGACGAGUGGCGGACGGGUGAGUAAUGUCUGGGAAGCUGCCUGAUGGAGGGGGAUAACUACUGGAAACGGUAGCUAAUACCGCAUAAUGUCGCAAGACCAAAGAGGGGGACCUUCGGGCCUCUUGCCAUCGGAUGUGCCCAGAUGGGAUUAGCUUGUUGGUGGGGUAACGGCUCACCAAGGCGACGAUCCCUAGCUGGUCUGAGAGGAUGACCAGCCACACUGGAACUGAGACACGGUCCAGACUCCUACGGGAGGCAGCAGUGGGGAAUAUUGCACAAUGGGCGCAAGCCUGAUGCAGCCAUGCCGCGUGUAUGAAGAAGGCCUUCGGGUUGUAAAGUACUUUCAGCGGGGAGGAAGGGAGUAAAGUUAAUACCUUUGCUCAUUGACGUUACCCGCAGAAGAAGCACCGGCUAACUCCGUGCCAGCAGCCGCGGUAAUACGGAGGGUGCAAGCGUUAAUCGGAAUUACUGGGCGUAAAGCGCACGCAGGCGGUUUGUUAAGUCAGAUGUGAAAUCCCCGGGCUCAACCUGGGAACUGCAUCUGAUACUGGCAAGCUUGAGUCUCGUAGAGGGGGGGUAGAAUUCCAGGUGUAGCGGUGAAAUGCGUAGAGAUCUGGAGGAAUACCGGUGGCGAAGGCGGCCCCCUGGACGAAGACUGACGCUCAGGUGCGAAAGCGUGGGGAGCAAACAGGAUUAGAUACCCUGGUAGUCCACGCCGUAAACGAUGUCGACUUGGAGGUUGUGCCCUUGAGGCGUGGCUUCCGGAGCUAACGCGUUAAGUCGACCGCCUGGGGAGUACGGCCGCAAGGUUAAAACUCAAAUGAAUUGACGGGGGCCCGCACAAGCGGUGGAGCAUGUGGUUUAAUUCGAUGCAACGCGAAGAACCUUACCUGGUCUUGACAUCCACGGAAGUUUUCAGAGAUGAGAAUGUGCCUUCGGGAACCGUGAGACAGGUGCUGCAUGGCUGUCGUCAGCUCGUGUUGUGAAAUGUUGGGUUAAGUCCCGCAACGAGCGCAACCCUUAUCCUUUGUUGCCAGCGGUCCGGCCGGGAACUCAAAGGAGACUGCCAGUGAUAAACUGGAGGAAGGUGGGGAUGACGUCAAGUCAUCAUGGCCCUUACGACCAGGGCUACACACGUGCUACAAUGGCGCAUACAAAGAGAAGCGACCUCGCGAGAGCAAGCGGACCUCAUAAAGUGCGUCGUAGUCCGGAUUGGAGUCUGCAACUCGACUCCAUGAAGUCGGAAUCGCUAGUAAUCGUGGAUCAGAAUGCCACGGUGAAUACGUUCCCGGGCCUUGUACACACCGCCCGUCACACCAUGGGAGUGGGUUGCAAAAGAAGUAGGUAGCUUAACCUUCGGGAGGGCGCUUACCACUUUGUGAUUCAUGACUGGGGUGAAGUCGUAACAAGGUAACC